RNAcentral lists this ribosomal RNA (449 nucleotides) under uncultured bacterium. RNAcentral's name for it is "partial 16S ribosomal RNA". It matches the Rfam family "Bacterial small subunit ribosomal RNA", at positions 29 to 523 of the family's 1533-position model. The record is from RNAcentral.
AACGAACGCUGGCGGCAUGCCUAACACAUGCAAGUCGAACGAGAUCUUCGGGUCUAGUGGCGCACGGGUGCGUAACGCGUGGGAAUCUGCCCUUUGGUUCGGAAUAACAGUUGGAAACAACUGCUAAUACCGGAUGAUGACGAAAGUCCAAAGAUUUAUCGCCAGAGGAUGAGCCCGCGUAGGAUUAGCUAGUUAGUGUGGUAAAGGCGCACCAAGGCGACGAUCCUUAGCUGGUCUGAGAGGAUGAUCAGCCACACUGGGACUGAGACACGGCCCAGACUCCUACGGGAGGCAGCAGUGGGGAAUAUUGGACAAUGGGCGAAAGCCUGAUCCAGCAAUGCCGCGUGAGUGAUGAAGGCCUUAGGGUUGUAAAGCUCUUUUACCCGGGAUGAUAAUGACAGUACCGGGAGACUAAGCUCCGGCUAACUCCGUGCCAGCAGCCGCCGUAA